This 859-nucleotide ribosomal RNA is filed under the name Vreelandella titanicae. Its description in RNAcentral is "bacterial SSU rRNA". It matches the Rfam family "Bacterial small subunit ribosomal RNA", at positions 75 to 932 of the family's 1533-position model. Lineage: Bacteria; Pseudomonadati; Pseudomonadota; Gammaproteobacteria; Oceanospirillales; Halomonadaceae. The record is from RNAcentral.
GUAGCUUGCUACCCGCUGACGAGCGGCGGACGGGUGAGUAAUGCAUAGGAAUCUGCCCGAUAGUGGGGGAUAACCUGGGGAAACCCAGGCUAAUACCGCAUACGUCCUACGGGAGAAAGGGGGCUUCGGCUCCCGCUAUUGGAUGAGCCUAUGUCGGAUUAGCUAGUUGGUAAGGUAAUGGCUUACCAAGGCAACGAUCCGUAGCUGGUCUGAGAGGAUGAUCAGCCACAUCGGGACUGAGACACGGCCCGAACUCCUACGGGAGGCAGCAGUGGGGAAUAUUGGACAAUGGGGGCAACCCUGAUCCAGCCAUGCCGCGUGUGUGAAGAAGGCCCUCGGGUUGUAAAGCACUUUCAGCGAGGAAGAACGCCUAUCGGUUAAUACCCGGUAGGAAAGACAUCACUCGCAGAAGAAGCACCGGCUAACUCCGUGCCAGCAGCCGCGGUAAUACGGAGGGUGCAAGCGUUAAUCGGAAUUACUGGGCGUAAAGCGCGCGUAGGUGGCUUGAUAAGCCGGUUGUGAAAGCCCCGGGCUCAACCUGGGAACGGCAUCCGGAACUGUCAGGCUAGAGUGCAGGAGAGGAAGGUAGAAUUCCCGGUGUAGCGGUGAAAUGCGUAGAGAUCGGGAGGAAUACCAGUGGCGAAGGCGGCCUUCUGGACUGACACUGACACUGAGGUGCGAAAGCGUGGGUAGCAAACAGGAUUAGAUACCCUGGUAGUCCACGCCGUAAACGAUGUCGACCAGCCGUUGGGUGCCUAGAGCACUUUUGUGGCGAAGUUAACGCGAUAAGUCGACCGCCUGGGGGAGUACGGCCGCAAGGUUAAAACUCAAAUGAAUUGACGGGGGCCCGCACAAGCGG